Molecule: long non-coding RNA, 1064 nt
Organism: Triticum aestivum (bread wheat)
Lineage: Eukaryota; Viridiplantae; Streptophyta; Magnoliopsida; Poales; Poaceae
Exons: 3
Source: RefSeq, a predicted model, not a curated record
GGCAAAUUAAACACAUUUAACAGAUUUCGGAGGGGAAAAAACGAAAAAUUGACUAAACAUAACUGCCGCUGCUGCGGCUUCUCUCAUCCCGCCUCCGCAGUCCGCACCGCAUGCACCAAUCGCCAGCGAUCGCCCGCCCGUUCGUGCGCGCGUCAGUUGGUUGCUCUCUCCACAUCCAGCGGAAAACUACGCUUUCCCCACCGCCUACGGCCCCGGAACCCUCUCUCCGUAUCUCGGGGCUGGUUGAUGCGGUGAGGUGAACUGAGCUUUUCCCUUUUGGCGGGGGUAACAGCUUGAUCCGAGGAAGGCGCGGGGGAGUCAUCGGCGCGCGACCAUGGCGGGGAUGGCUGCGGCGUGCGGCGCGGCGGCCCCGGCGGGGGCGAGGGAGUGGAGGAAGGGUUGGUCGCUGCGAUCUGGCUUCGACGUGCUCUACGACAAGUGCGGGAGUUGCUAUCAUGCUUCUUUCUGUACUUGGAAUAUGGCUAAAGCUGGAGCCACUUGAAACUUGUUGUAAGAGGAGCACUAUGGAAGGAAAGUAUGGAACUUUCUGAAUGACGCAGACUAUUGAUGAAUCGGACGGGAUUUCUACGAACUGAAUUUUUAUAAAUUUUCAAAUUACGAAGUAUGGUACAAGGACGAAGAAGGAAAAGACAUGAAGCACCUGAGAGGUAGCGGACCUACAAAAAAGUAAGAAGACAAAACUGCGUAUGUGUUGACGUGUAUGUCAUCUUUGUUAUUGAGUAGAAUCAUGACGGUUUCCCUACACUAAUGUUCGUUUUGGUCUAUAGAAAGCUUAAUUAACCAGGAUAUUUUGGGCCUAAGGUAUUACUAAAGAAGGUGCCUCUAAUCUUUAGUGUGAUGUAUGCCUACUUGUCAAAUAUGUAAAACAUCUAGCAGAAGUGCGUUAGGCUCGCUUUUCCACAGAUUUAUGUGACGAUAUUAUCACAAAUCACUGCAUUUCCAAGCUAACCCCUCGUUGAAUUAGUUCUACUUCGUUUCUCAAAAAAAAAAAAGUUCUACUUCAGUUUUUUUUAUUUACUUUCAUCUUAGGUUAACAAAAUUCA